AUGAUAUUCUUCAUUGGAUGCCUUGUGCUUUGUGCACAGUGUGCUGUCGAUAAUAAGCAAACGAAGGUCAACCAAGAUGAUCAUGCGGCGAACACAAGUACCAACGCUACCAUCGUCAACUAA
RNAcentral lists this ribosomal RNA (123 nucleotides) under Triticum aestivum (bread wheat). Its description in RNAcentral is "partial small subunit ribosomal RNA". Lineage: Eukaryota; Viridiplantae; Streptophyta; Magnoliopsida; Poales; Poaceae. The record is from RNAcentral.